AUUUGAUAUUUGAAUAAACUGAAAUAAAUUAUUUGAAAAGUUUAGCCAAAAAUAUUAAAUUGAGGUCAAAGUUAAUAUUAAAAGAGGAAGAAGGUCAAACACACCACAAUAGUGUGAAAGCAGUUCCAACAUCGAGAAAUAUUUUAACGUCUAUUACAGUCUUGGUCCCGUCUGACAAUGCCUUUAGAGCUCAAAACUAAACAUAACCUAUUUACCUGUCAUCUUCAACUUGAAAUUGAUUUUUCUUUUUUCACCCUGUUAAGUGCUCUAACUUUUCCAUUGUCACAUAGCUGAGCUUUUUCAGUUUCCUGCACAAUGUAUUUUUGCUAUAUUUUCCCCUGAUCUUCAACAUUUUUACUAAAGAAGUAAUGUAAAUGGUUCUUAUGCAGACUGUGUCACUUACCUUGAGCGCAAACACAGCUAAGUGGACACACUGGGAUAAUGAUACCUCCUGCAGGAUGGGGGGUGUAACAUUCCAGUGAUAUGGAAACAGAAGAUAUUUUAAAUUACGAGAGAUCAACCUGCAGAAUGCAUCAAACAAUGUGCGACACACUGCUUUUCCUAUUUUAGUUGCACAAAUCCAGACAUGCUCAGAUAAAACUCUCUCUUUUAUAUAGAGUAUUGACAAAACAACGCCAUUUAUCUAGUGCACAACAAUACAUUUUUUAUAACAAGGAGUAAAACAAAGACCUAUUAAAAAGAAGAAUCUAUUGUGGAAUGUUUCAUAUGCUUGAACAUCCAAUAGCUGGUAAUUAAUUAUAUGUGAACCCAAUAAAAAUAAUUCCUACAAUAUUUGCUAAUUUGGGAAAAAAAAUAUUAAAGGGACACUACAGUCACCAAAACUACUACAGCUUAUUGUAUCUGUUUUGGUGAGUAGAAUAAGUGCCUCCAGGCUUUUUACAAUAAACACUGUAUUUUUGGAUAAAAUUCAGUGUUUACAUUACAGCCUCGUGAUACCUCCACUGGCCACACCUCUGGCUGCUAGAGGUGCUUCCUGGGGCAGUGCUCCACAUUGUGACUGACAUUCAGUGUCUUCACCCUCUGCAUGCAGACACUGAACUUUCCUCAUAGAGAUGCAUUGAUUCAAUGUAUCUCUAUGAGAAGAUGCUGAUUGGCCAGGGUUAUGUUUGACUUGUGUUGGAUCUGCCUCUGAUUUGCCUCUUUGACAGUCUCAGCCAAUCCUAUGGGAAAGCAUUGUGAUUGGCUCACAGAAUCACUUCUGAUGAUGUCAGGCAUGCAGGCAGAUCAGGGACAGUGGCAACAGCUGCAGAUUAUAUUACAAGUAAGAUUUUACUAAAUUUAGGGAGGCAAGGGGGAUCAGAGGGCUAGAUGGUGGUUUUAACACUAUAGGGUCAGAAAUACAUGUUUGUGUUCCUGACCCUAUAGGGUUCCUUUAAAUGCAUUAAAAACAAGUAUGCACACAAAAUACCAAGUGUUUUCCAGUUGUUCCUAAAUGUGUAAAGUGUGCAAUAAAUAUAAGUACAAUUUAUUUAUGUUCUGGUUUUUAGGUUCUAGUAUUAAAAAAUAGCCCUAGAAUUUAUAUGGAUUACCAGCAUCUGAUGAAAGGCAGAAAUAAAUAAAUGCUUUUUGUAUUUUUAUUUCUUGGACAUGUUUUAACUUUGUCAGAAUUUUAAUGUAGAUACUAAGUUUCAAUAAUGGCGUGUGAGGGAUACUUUAUAUAUUUUAAUAUAUGUGGAUAAAUUUAAAAAAAUACAAUAAGCGAAAAUAUUGGUACAAAUAUGAAACUGUGAAAAUGAUUGUCAUCAACACACCAAUUUUAAAAAGGAAAUGUCACUUUUCAUUAUUUCUAAUAACGGCCUCGAUUUAAUACUGAUGUUUUAAAGUAAUUUAAUAUUUGUG
RNAcentral lists this long non-coding RNA (1860 nucleotides) under Pelobates cultripes (western spadefoot toad). Lineage: Eukaryota; Metazoa; Chordata; Amphibia; Anura; Pelobatidae. The record is from RNAcentral.